GGCUGUGUAGCUCAGUGGCAAGAGCACUCGCCCCGGCAACGGGGUACAUUGGUUCGAUCCCAGUCUAGGCCA
Molecule: transfer RNA, 72 nt
Filed under: Orchesella cincta
Lineage: Eukaryota; Metazoa; Arthropoda; Collembola; Entomobryomorpha; Orchesellidae
Rfam family: tRNA
About the family: Transfer RNA (tRNA) molecules are approximately 80 nucleotides in length. Their secondary structure includes four short double-helical elements and three loops (D, anti-codon, and T loops).
Source: Rfam by way of RNAcentral